AUUGAACGCUGGCGGCAUGCCUUACACAUGCAAGUCGAACGGCAGCACGGGAGCAAUCCUGGUGGCGAGUGGCGAACGGGUGAGUAAUAUAUCGGAGCGUGCCCAGUGAUGGGGGAUAGCCCGGCGAAAGCCGGAUUAAUACCGCAUACGACCUACGGGUGAAAGCAGGGGAUCGCAAGACCUUGCGUCAUUGGAGCGGCCGAUAUCAGAUUAGCUUGUUGGUGGGGUAAAAGCCUACCAAGGCGACGAUCUGUAGCUGGUCUGAGAGGACGACCAGCCACACUGGGACUGAGACACGGCCCAGACUCCUACGGGAGGCAGCAGUGGGGAAUUUUGGACAAUGGGCGCAAGCCUGAUCCAGCCAUGCCGCGUGCGGGAAGAAGGCCU
RNAcentral lists this ribosomal RNA (387 nucleotides) under uncultured bacterium. Its description in RNAcentral is "bacterial SSU rRNA". It matches the Rfam family "Bacterial small subunit ribosomal RNA", at positions 29 to 417 of the family's 1533-position model. The record is from RNAcentral.